AGAGAAAGUCGGUUAUCUUGGUGUUGUAUGAUAUCUUUGCAGCACCAAAUUAAAGUUUUUAUUAGGCAAUUAUUUCACGACUAUUAUUAUAUAACCUCGGGGGGAAAAAAUACUGAGGACCUCGUGAUCUCAAUGGGUCGCAGGGAGCCUAUUCCAGGGGACAUGGGGCACAAGGCAGGGGACACCCUGAAUGUACAAUAGUGCACUAUGGACAAUUUAGAGAUGCUAAUCACGCAUGUCUUUGGACUGAGGGAGGAAACCAGAGUAUCCAGAGUCAAACCCAAACACACCCCACCAUUCUGUUUUCCAGGAUCGCUUUCUUUUCAAGCGUGGUGUAAAGGUAUGUUCAUCAACAGCAUCAAAAUGAGUAGUGAGUCUGCUGGUGCUUUGCCUGCCUUAUGCUGAAAUGGUUUUCAAAGGAGACAUUAUCUUGCAUAAUUUAACACAUUUCCCUGUGCUCUUUAAAAGACAUCUGUGAAGAAUGCAAUAAAAUUCACCCUUAAUUAAGCUCUUGGAUUGGUGAUAAUUUUGUAUGCUUAUGACUUCUGCUCAUUGGGGGGGGGGGGGCUGACAUUUUAUAGUGGAGAGGACCUCAGUAAUAUUGACAGCAGCGGAUUGAAACUAUGAGACUAAAGACAGUACAAAACAAAAUCCAGCUCAGCUGGA
This is a long non-coding RNA of Ictalurus punctatus (channel catfish), 666 nucleotides long. RefSeq lists it as uncharacterized. The record is from RefSeq and is a predicted model, not a curated record. NCBI's taxonomy places the organism in Eukaryota, Metazoa, Chordata, Actinopteri, Siluriformes, Ictaluridae. The transcript has 3 exons.